RNAcentral lists this ribosomal RNA (433 nucleotides) under uncultured bacterium. RNAcentral describes it as "partial 16S ribosomal RNA". It matches the Rfam family "Bacterial small subunit ribosomal RNA", at positions 29 to 507 of the family's 1533-position model. The record is from RNAcentral.
AACGAACGCUGGCGGCAGGCCUAACACAUGCAAGUCGAGCGAGGACUUCGGUCCUAGCGGCGGACGGGGGAGUAACGCGUGGGAACGUGCCCUUUGCUUCGGAAUAGCCCUGGGAAACUGGGAGUAAUACCGGAUGAGCCCUUUGGGGGAAAGAUUCAUCGGGGAAGGAUCGGCCCGCGUUGGUUUAGGUGGUUGGUGGGGUAAUGGCCUACCAAGCGGACGAUCCAUAGCGGGUUAGAGAGGAUGAUCAGCCACACUGGGACUGAGAAACGGCCCAGACUCCUGCGGAAGGCGGGAGUGGGUAAUCUUGGCAAACGGGGUAAGCCCUGAUCGACCCAGGCCGGGAGAGCGCUGAUGGCGUGAGGGUUGAACAGCUCUUUCAUCUGGGACGAUAAUGACGGUACCAAAAGAAGAAGCCCCGGCUAACUCCGUG